GGCCUAAUGGCCCAAUGGCAAGGCGCUUGACUACGACUUCGUUCGAUAUCAAGAGAUUCCAGGUUGUAAGUAGCUCUCAGAAGCCUCCUGUUCGAAUCGCAAAGCUGACACCCCCGCUGCGACCCCUGGUUAGGUCA
Non-coding RNA from Alternaria ethzedia, 137 nucleotides. Lineage: Eukaryota; Fungi; Ascomycota; Dothideomycetes; Pleosporales; Pleosporaceae. The record is from the annotation of a RefSeq genome assembly.